UGCAACCUGAGCUCAGUCGUGAUUACCCGCUGAACUUAAGCAUAUCACUUAGCGGAGGAAAA
This 62-nucleotide ribosomal RNA is filed under the name Oesophagostomum stephanostomum. Its description in RNAcentral is "partial 28S ribosomal RNA". It matches the Rfam family "Eukaryotic large subunit ribosomal RNA", at positions 1 to 60 of the family's 3401-position model. Lineage: Eukaryota; Metazoa; Nematoda; Chromadorea; Rhabditida; Strongylidae. The record is from RNAcentral.